GUGCCAGCAGCCGCGGUAAGACAGAGGUGCCAAGCGUUAGGCGGAAUCACUGGGCUUAAAGCGUGUGUAGGCGGAUUUGUAAGUACCUUGUGAAAUCCCACGGCUCAACCGUGGAACUGCUCGGUAUACUGCUUAUCUUGAGCCACUUAGGGGCUACCGGAACAAAUGGUGGAGCGGUGAAAUGCGUAGAUAUCAUUUGGAACGCCAAUGGUGAAAACAGGUAGCUGGGAGUGUGCUGACGCUGAGACACGAAAGCCAGGGGAGCGAACGGGAUUAGAUACCCCCGUAGUCC
Molecule: ribosomal RNA, 292 nt
Filed under: uncultured bacterium
Lineage: Bacteria
Description: partial 16S ribosomal RNA
Rfam family: Bacterial small subunit ribosomal RNA
Source: RNAcentral